CACGUAGGGCGCAAGCGUUGUCCGGAAUUAUUGGGCGUAAAGAGCUCGUAGGCGGUCUGUUGCGUCCGCUGUGAAAACUCGGGGCUUAACCCCGAGCCUGCAGUGGAUACGGGCAGACUAGAGGUAGGUAGGGGAGAAUGGAAUUCCCGGUGUAGCGGUGAAAUGCGCAGAUAUCGGGAGGAACACCGGUGGCGAAGGCGGCUCACUGGACCAUUACUGACGCUGAGGCACGAAAGCUAGGGGAGCAAACAGG
RNAcentral lists this ribosomal RNA (253 nucleotides) under uncultured bacterium. RNAcentral's name for it is "partial 16S ribosomal RNA". It matches the Rfam family "Bacterial small subunit ribosomal RNA", at positions 524 to 776 of the family's 1533-position model. The record is from RNAcentral.